UACGGAAGGGGCAGGCGUUACUCUUUUUAACUGGGUGUAAAGCGUAUUUUGAUUGUAUUUGAACAUAGUUUUAAUAAGUUUCAAAAUGAUGAAAGCAAUAAAUAUGUUUAAUGCUAAUUUUUAUUUAUAUCAAUUCAAUUCUUAGUUUAAGGAUAAAAUUUUUUAAGACUAAGAGGAAACCCAAUUGCGAAGGCAUGGAUUUAGGUAAAAAUGAUAUUUAAGUACGAAAACUUGGGGAGCAAACAGG
RNAcentral lists this ribosomal RNA (247 nucleotides) under uncultured bacterium. RNAcentral's name for it is "partial 16S ribosomal RNA". It matches the Rfam family "Bacterial small subunit ribosomal RNA", at positions 524 to 776 of the family's 1533-position model. The record is from RNAcentral.